AAUGAACGCUGGCGGCGCGCCUAAUACAUGCAAGUCGAGCGAGAAGACGUAGCAAUACGUUUGUAAAGCGGCGGACGGGUGAGGAAUACAUGGGUAACCUACCCUCGAGUGGGGAAUAACUAGCCGAAAGGUUAGCUAAUACCGCGUACGCUCCUUGGACUUCGGUUCAGGGAGGAAAGCGAUACCGUGGGUAUCGCGCUCUUGGUUGGGCUCAUGUCCUAUCAGCUUGUUGGUGAGGAACGGCUCACCAAGGCUUCGACGGGUAGCUGGUCUGAGAGGACGAUCAGCCACACUGGCACUGCGACACGGGCCAGACUCCUACGGGAGGCAGCAGUAAGGAAUAUUGCGCAAUGGGCGAAAGCCUGACGCAGCGACGCCGCGUGAGGGAU
RNAcentral lists this ribosomal RNA (389 nucleotides) under uncultured bacterium. RNAcentral's name for it is "bacterial SSU rRNA". It matches the Rfam family "Bacterial small subunit ribosomal RNA", at positions 29 to 409 of the family's 1533-position model. The record is from RNAcentral.